This is a non-coding RNA of Myodes glareolus (Bank vole), 359 nucleotides long. The record is from RefSeq and is a predicted model, not a curated record. Lineage: Eukaryota; Metazoa; Chordata; Mammalia; Rodentia; Cricetidae.
UGGAGGGCUCAGCAUCCACCAGACAGGAGAUCAUCUACAGUGGCCCCCUCCACGGCUGUCCUGCCCAGGCUGCCUUCUUCCCUCACCAUGCGGGAUCCUGACCAGGAAGUCAUCCCUAAGCCUAGCAGCCAGGGGCUGAGCAGCCAGGCCAGACCCACAACAUCCAUCCUCUGCCCGACCUGCCCUGUUGCCUGGUCCUCCCGCCAUUGCUUCCCCUGCACGGAAGAUUGAGACCCCCUGGCAUGACACCAAGCGUGCUGAAGUGACCCACAUCAGGACCCAAGAGAGCCCUCAGUAGGCACUGAGUGGAUGCAUAAGCGACCUCCUUUGGCUUUCUGAAGAAGGUAUGUGAUUGUCCC